Molecule: transfer RNA, 60 nt
Filed under: Escherichia coli
Lineage: Bacteria; Pseudomonadati; Pseudomonadota; Gammaproteobacteria; Enterobacterales; Enterobacteriaceae
Description: tRNA-Lys
Rfam family: tRNA
About the family: Transfer RNA (tRNA) molecules are approximately 80 nucleotides in length.
Source: RNAcentral
UGGUAGAGCAGUUGACUUUUAAUCAAUUGGUCGCAGGUUCGAAUCCUGCACGACCCACCA